ACCGUACUUACCGCCUGCACCCCAGGAUCAGCCGCUACGCCCAGCAUGGUUCAGAGCGACCUCGCAGCUGUUUUGUGCUUGGUUCAAGCAGCCACAGGGUCAAGCAUUGGCGGCAUGGGAAACCAGAUAACGUGCACUUUUGUUAAUUUCCUUACCACCACCCUCACAAGACAGGGCUUCC
This is a long non-coding RNA of Ixodes scapularis (black-legged tick), 181 nucleotides long. RefSeq lists it as uncharacterized. The record is from RefSeq and is a predicted model, not a curated record. Lineage: Eukaryota; Metazoa; Arthropoda; Arachnida; Ixodida; Ixodidae. The transcript has 3 exons.